This 761-nucleotide ribosomal RNA is filed under the name Prevotella melaninogenica. RNAcentral describes it as "bacterial SSU rRNA". It matches the Rfam family "Bacterial small subunit ribosomal RNA", at positions 28 to 776 of the family's 1533-position model. The record is from RNAcentral. Lineage: Bacteria; Pseudomonadati; Bacteroidota; Bacteroidia; Bacteroidales; Prevotellaceae.
GAUGAACGCUAGCUACAGGCUUAACACAUGCAAGUCGAGGGGAAACGGCAUUGAGUGCUUGCACUCUUUGGACGUCGACCGGCGCACGGGUGAGUAACGCGUAUCCAACCUUCCCAUUACUGUGGGAUAACCUGCCGAAAGGCAGACUAAUACCGCAUAGUCUUCGAUGACGGCAUCAGAUUUGAAGUAAAGAUUUAUCGGUAAUGGAUGGGGAUGCGCCUGAUUAGCUUGUUGGCGGGGUAACGGCCCACCAAGGCGACGAUCAGUAGGGGUUCUGAGAGGAAGGUCCCCCACAUUGGAACUGAGACACGGUCCAAACUCCUACGGGAGGCAGCAGUGAGGAAUAUUGGUCAAUGGGCGCGAGCCUGAACCAGCCAAGUAGCGUGCAGGAUGACGGCCCUAUGGGUUGUAAACUGCUUUUGUAUGGGGAUAAAGUCAAUCACGUGUGAUUGUUUGCAGGUACCAUACGAAUAAGGACCGGCUAAUUCCGUGCCAGCAGCCGCGGUAAUACGGAAGGUCCGGGCGUUAUCCGGAUUUAUUGGGUUUAAAGGGAGCGUAGGCCGGAGAUUAAGUGUGUUGUGAAAUGUAGACGCUCAACGUCUGACUUGCAGCGCAUACUGGUUUCCUUGAGUACGCACAACGUUGGCGGAAUUCGUCGUGUAGCGGUGAAAUGCUUAGAUAUGACGAAGAACUCCGAUUGCGAAGGCAGCUGACGGGAGCGCAACUGACGCUUAAGCUCGAAGGUGCGGGUAUCGAACAGG